Long non-coding RNA from Thalassophryne amazonica, 1359 nucleotides. RefSeq lists it as uncharacterized. The transcript has 2 exons. NCBI's taxonomy places the organism in Eukaryota, Metazoa, Chordata, Actinopteri, Batrachoidiformes, Batrachoididae. The record is from RefSeq and is a predicted model, not a curated record.
UGCACAGAAGCAAAAAUCCAAAAACUUUGUCACUGUCCAACUCCUUAUGGACCUGCCUGCAGGCUGUUCCAUAUAUAGUGUCAGCACAGAUAAAACCACUUUGGCCCACUGACAGAAAGUAAUCUUUACUGAGCUGAUUUCACUGGUGGGCUCAGCAAACCAAUGUGUGAACAGUGCGUGCCUGCCUGGGUGUUACACUCAUGCAGUGUAUUCCCUUCUUUUUUUCAGGGAUACACCUUCUACUUGAUAUCCUCUGAAGUCUGACGUGAUCCGGCGGGGCUCAGCGGUGAAAACGCUGACGAGCUAACUGUUUAAACCAAGAACAACAACAACAACAUGCGGCCUAAUCCUCUUAUCUGCACUGGGACUGUCCAUCUGUCAUCCCGUUUGCUCUGCUCCAACACGGGCUCCUCUCCUCUUUAUCCAUCCACAUGACAAGAAAGAGGAUGAGGGGAAGGAAAAAACAUAAAGAGGAAGUGGGCUGUUAGCAGAACAGAGAAGGGCGAUGGCGUAGGAUGAGUCACAAUAAUGCUUCAAUUAAAAAAAAAAAAAAAAAGAGCUUCAACAGGUUUGGUGUUUCCCAGCUGGCAAUGACAGAAUGGAAGAGUCGAGACGGGGCCAAGAUAAAGAGCAGAUAUUUUGAUGGAUGACAAAGUGCAGGAGAAGAAUUAGUGUGUGUGUGUGUGUGUGUGUGUGUGGCUCUUUGAUGUGUUGUUUACAGAAAGGGAGCCCCGAGCUCCUGUUUGACAGUCGCUCCAUUUGAUGUACAAAUCUGUGCCUCCUCCGAGCCGACUCCCACGGGAAUCAGAGCGGCGGCAGACGCGUUUCUUCUGUCCGCCAGCCUCAUUGUGUGAGCCCAAUAAGUUAUUUACACACACCCUGAAAUGACAGGAUGAGCGAACACAAAUAGCGACGAGCAAAUUAUUGUAGCAUUAUGUGAAAUAAACUGCUGCUGCCGAUUUUAAGCUGGCAGAGCAAUAGAUUUAUUGACAAAACGACAGGCCACUCAAAAAAUGUUCACUCCAGAACAAUAGAGUCAAACAUGCUGCACGUUACAUUUUGUCUUAUACAGCUGAAGCAAAUUUAUUGUCACGGAAAAGUGUGAAAAUGUUUGGUCUAAGCAGUGAUUUUCUCUUUUAACCAUAUGCAAAUAAGUUUCUGUUUUCUGAGCGGUACAGUUGCUUGUAGAACCUUUUUAUUCCUGUAUAAAUAACUAUGCAAUGGUGAUGAGCAUAUUAGCGCUGUACCGACAGCUCAAUUAAUCAGGUAGUUGGCUGACAGAGAAUUAAAUGUCACAUUAAGCCCCUCAUGUUGGCUAAGGACACACCUUGAACUGUAAUAGACUUCUUUAAUUGAUAA